RNAcentral lists this small RNA (922 nucleotides) under Pan troglodytes (chimpanzee). RNAcentral's name for it is "processed transcript". Lineage: Eukaryota; Metazoa; Chordata; Mammalia; Primates; Hominidae. The record is from RNAcentral.
UUACAAAAUAGUAAGGACGAGUGAAAAGAACUUCAUAAACGAGGAAAAAGACCAACCCGCAGACCCACGGCGCGCACCACGGAGGUGCUUCCAGCGAGAAGACAGGGACCUCCGUUCCCAAGUGCCCAGCACUGCGCCACAGGCCGGGUGGAACGGGCCUUGAGGGCCUCUGGUUUGAGGUCCCCCACGGUCGGGCUUUGGGUCCACCGCGUGCGGCGCCGUGCUGGGCUCCUAGGAUCCGCAGCGAGUCCAGUGACUCCCACCGCACCCCCAGUAAUCACAGGGCGGCCGGCAACCGCGGGCAGGGGAGGGGGUCUGGGAAGGCCCCUGGAGAAGGUGGCAUUUCCUCGAGGUGACCAGAAGUCAGCAGCUUCCCAGAAGCCCCGAAGCCGGGGCAUCCUCCACUCACUCUUCUGCUGUGUCUGCCGGGAUGAUGGGGAGGCCCUGCCUGCUCACAGCGGGGCGCCCCUGCUUGUGGAGGAGAAUGGCGCCAUCCCUAAGACCCCAGUCCAAUACCUGCUCCCUGAGGCCAAGGCCCAGGACUCAGACAAGAUCUGCGUGGUCAUCGACCUGGACGAGACCCUGGUGCACAGCUCCUUCAAGCCAGUGAACAACGCGGACUUCAUCAUCCCUGUGGAGAUUGAUGGGGUGGUCCACCAGGUCUACGUGUUGAAGCGGCCUCACGUGGAUGAGUUCCUGCAGCGAAUGGGCGAGCUCUUUGAAUGUGUGCUGUUCACUGCUAGCCUCGCCAAGUACGCAGACCCAGUAGCUGACCUGCUGGACAAAUGGGGGGCCUUCCGGGCCCGGCUGUUUCGAGAGUCCUGCGUCUUCCACCGGGGGAACUACGUGAAGGACCUGAGCCGGUUGGGUCGAGACCUGCGGCGGGUGCUCAUCCUGGACAACUCACCUGCCUCCUAUGUCU